GAUGAACGCUGGCGGCGUGCCUAAUACAUGCAAGUCGAGCGAACAGAUGAGGAGCUUGCUCCUCUGACGUUAGCGGCGGACGGGUGAGUAACACGUGGAUAACCUACCUAUAAGACUGGGAUAACUUCGGGAAACCGGAGCUAAUACCGGAUAAUAUAUUGAACCGCAUGGUUCAAUAGUGAAAGACGGUUUUGCUGUCACUUAUAGAUGGAUCCGCGCCGCAUUAGCUAGUUGGUAAGGUAACGGCUCACCAAGGCAACGAUGCGUAGCCGACCUGAGAGGGUGAUCGGCCACACUGGAACUGAGACGCGGUCCAGACUCCUACGGGAGGCAGCAGUAGGGAAUCUUCCGCAAUGGGCGAAAGCCUGACGGAGCAACGCCGCGUGAGUGAUGAAGGUCUUCGGAUCGUAAAACUCUGUUAUUAGGGAAGAACAAAUGUGUAAGUAACUAUGCACGUCUUGACGGUACCUAAUCAGAAAGCCACGGCUAACUACGUG
Molecule: ribosomal RNA, 497 nt
Filed under: uncultured bacterium
Lineage: Bacteria
Description: partial 16S ribosomal RNA
Rfam family: Bacterial small subunit ribosomal RNA
Source: RNAcentral